This is a long non-coding RNA of Myotis lucifugus (little brown bat), 372 nucleotides long. RefSeq lists it as uncharacterized. NCBI's taxonomy places the organism in Eukaryota, Metazoa, Chordata, Mammalia, Chiroptera, Vespertilionidae. The record is from RefSeq and is a predicted model, not a curated record. The transcript has 2 exons.
UGUGGGCACCCCCUGGUGGUCACAGGUGGAGUGGCUCUUUGUUCUUUGCAUCUAGAAGUUCUGGGGCUGGAACACUGGUGUAAAACAGUUUUUGUUUGUUUUUUUAUGGUCAGCAAGAAAGAAAUAACUGACCACCAAGAGAAGAAGCAACAGAAAAUGAAGUAUCUUCUGACCAAAUGGUGUUGACAGGAAAUGAAUGUGAUGACGUGAUGGCUGGAACGUUGGCAGUCAUCUUAGACCCAGGAACUGAAAAUGGCUUGAAGAGAAAUGUGGAGCAAAGAGAUUGAAGGAACUUGGAUCCCAUACCGACCUGGCACUAUCUCCUGCAGACUUGUUUUUCACAAGAGAGGAAUAAACGUCUAUCUUUCUUAA